GUAAAGAGUUCGUAGGCGGUCAAGUAAGUCGGGUGUGAAAAUUCUGGGCUCAACCCAGAGACGCCACUCGAUACUGCUUAACUUGAGUUCGAUAGGGGAGUGGGGAAUUCCUAGUGUAGCGGUGAAAUGCGCAGAUAUUAGGAGGAACACCGGUGGCGAAGGCGCCACUCUGGAUCGAUACUGACGCUGAGGAACGAAAGCAUGGGUAGCAAACAGGAUUAGAUACCCUGGUAGUCCAUGCCGUAAACGGUGGGCACUAGGUGUGGGUUUCUAUUAACGAAAUCCGCGCCGUCGCUAACGCAUUAAGUGCCCCGCCUGGGGAGUACGGUCGCAAGACUAAAACUCAAAGGAAUUGACGGGGGCCCGCACAAGCAGCGGAGCGUGUUG
This 387-nucleotide ribosomal RNA is filed under the name uncultured bacterium. Its description in RNAcentral is "bacterial SSU rRNA". It matches the Rfam family "Bacterial small subunit ribosomal RNA", at positions 560 to 944 of the family's 1533-position model. The record is from RNAcentral.